RNAcentral lists this ribosomal RNA (440 nucleotides) under uncultured bacterium. RNAcentral describes it as "partial 16S ribosomal RNA". It matches the Rfam family "Bacterial small subunit ribosomal RNA", at positions 338 to 795 of the family's 1533-position model. The record is from RNAcentral.
CCUACGGGUGACAGCAGUAGGGAAUAUUGCUCAAUGGGGGAAACACUGAAGCAGCAACGCCGCGUGGCGGAUGAAGGUUCUCUGAUUGUACACUCCUUUUGUUAGAGAAGAUAAUGACGGUAUCUAACGAAUAAGCACCGGCUAACUCCGUGCCAGCAGCCGCGGUAAUACGGAGGGUGCAAGCGUUAUUCGGAAUCACUGGGCGUAAAGAGCGCGUAGGCGGGAUAACAAGUCAGAUGUUAAAUCCUUGGGCUUAACCAUAGAACUGCAGUUGAAACUGUUAUGCUAGAGUACGGGAGAGGUAGGCGGAAUUCGUGGUGUAGCGGUGAAAUGCGUAGAGAUCAAGAGGAAUACUGAUUGCGAAGGCGACCUGCUGGAACAUAACUGACGCUGAUGCUCGAAAGCGUGGGGAGCAAACAGGAUUAGAUACCCCAGUAGUC